This 497-nucleotide ribosomal RNA is filed under the name uncultured bacterium. RNAcentral describes it as "partial 16S ribosomal RNA". It matches the Rfam family "Bacterial small subunit ribosomal RNA", at positions 28 to 507 of the family's 1533-position model. The record is from RNAcentral.
GAUGAACGCUGGCGGCGUGCCUAAUACAUGCAAGUCGAGCGAACGGACGAGAAGCUUGCUUUUCUGAUGUUAGCGGCGGACGGGUGAGUAACACGUGGAUAACCUACCUAUAAGACUGGGAUAACUUCGGGAAACCGGAGCUAAUACCGGAGAAUAUUUUGAACCGCAUGGUUCAUAAGUGAAAGACGGUCUUGCUGUCACUUAUAGAUGGAUCCGCGCUGCAUUAGCUAGUUGGUAAGGUAACGGCUUACCAAGGCAACGAUGCAUAGCCGACCUGAGAGGGUGAUCGGCCACACUGGAACUGAGACACGGUCCAGACUCCUACGGGAGGCAGCAGUAGGGAAUCUUCCGCAAUGGGCGAAAGCCUGACGGAGCAACGCCGCGUGAGUGAUGAAGGUCUUCGGAUCGUAAAACUCUGUUAUUAGGGAAGAACAUAUGUGUAAGUAACUGUGCACAUCUUGACGGUACCUAAUCAGAAAGCCACGGCUAACUACGUG